UGAUGAAUGAAUUAUAGCAACGGUUGUUUGUCUUGAGUUUUGUUGCAGGCCAGUGCCUGUGAUUUGGUGAUCGCAGGCAAUGGGUUUUUGCAGCCUUGGUCUACUUGUUUUUGGAGGCCUGAGGCACACAAUUCUUGGAAUAGAAGAAGUCAACAACAGAACCAUCGUGGGAUAAUCUCUUGCAGCCUCGGUCUAUUUGUUUAUGGGCGGUGCGAGCCCUACGGAUGAUACUACACACUUGUUAUGAUGCUGUUUUGGUCCAGAGCUCCGGCUCCGUUUGGUUGAUGGAAUUUGUUAAAUGAGCCCUGUGGGUGGGGCGCGUCCCCAAGUUGAUUUAUAGCCUGGAAGGUCCGUGUAGAGUGUAUAUGAUUGGGCGGUUAUCGGUGGAUUACCAAUACGAUGGUUUCAUUUUUUCUUUCUGUCGUUGCAGGAUUCAGUGAAUCCAGUUUUGUCCGUACAAUUUGUUGAACAUCGCUCAAGCAUGUCUCUAUGGUUUGACAGAGGCUGGUGAAAUAAACUUUGCCUGCAUCUGGUAACCUGGAUUUGGUUAUCAUCACCACCAUGCAAUACAGUAUUUUUUUUGGGUGAUAUUUGUCGUCCGAUCAUCAUGAGCAUUCCUGAUUUGUUGCAUUCUGU
This 636-nucleotide long non-coding RNA is filed under the name Triticum aestivum (bread wheat). RNAcentral's name for it is "long non-coding RNA (TAES_LNC024197)". The record is from RNAcentral. Lineage: Eukaryota; Viridiplantae; Streptophyta; Magnoliopsida; Poales; Poaceae.